Molecule: long non-coding RNA, 288 nt
Filed under: Homo sapiens (human)
Lineage: Eukaryota; Metazoa; Chordata; Mammalia; Primates; Hominidae
Description: non-protein coding lnc-EIF2AK3-4:71
Source: RNAcentral
UCUCCAGGGGAAAGAGCCACCCUCUCCUGCAGGGCCAGUCAGAGUGUUAGCAGCAACUUAGCCUGGUACCAGCAGAAACCUGGCCAGGCUCCCAGGCUCCUCAUCUAUGGUGCAUCCACCAGGGCCACUGGUAUCCCAGCCAGGUUCAGUGGCAGUGGGUCUGGGACAGAGUUCACUCUCACCAUCAGCAGCCUGCAGUCUGAAGAUUUUGCAGUUUAUUACUGUCAGCAGUAUAAUAACUGGACUGUGGAUCACCUUCGGCCAAGGGACACGACUGGAGAUUAAACG